This 497-nucleotide ribosomal RNA is filed under the name uncultured bacterium. RNAcentral's name for it is "partial 16S ribosomal RNA". It matches the Rfam family "Bacterial small subunit ribosomal RNA", at positions 28 to 507 of the family's 1533-position model. The record is from RNAcentral.
GACGAAAGCUGGCGGCGUGCCUAAUACAUGCAAGUUGAGCGCUGAAGGUUGGUACUUGUACCAACUGGAUGAGCAGCGGACGGGUGAGUAACGCGUGGGGAAUCUGCCUUUGAGCGGGGGACAACAUUUGGAAACGAAUGCUAAUACCGCAUAAAAACUUUAAACACAAGUUUUAAGUUUGAAAGAUGCAAUUGCAUCACUCAAAGAUGAUCCCGCGUUGUAUUAGCUAGUUGGUGAGGUAAAGGCUCACCAAGGCGAUGAUACAUAGCCGACCUGAGAGGGUGAUCGGCCACAGUGGGACUGAGACACGGCCCAAACUCCUACGGGAGGCAGCAGUAGGGAAUCUUCGGCAAUGGACGAAAGUCUGACCGAGCAACGCCGCGUGAGUGAAGAAGGUUUUCGGAUCGUAAAACUCUGUUGGUAGAGAAGAACGUUGGUGAGAGUGGAAAGCUCAUCAAGUGACGGUAACUACCCAGAAAGGGACGGCUAACUACGUG